GCACUGCUGAGGAGUCCCAUACUAGGACGAAACUACCGUCCAGUGC
Molecule: non-coding RNA, 46 nt
Organism: Schistosoma curassoni
Lineage: Eukaryota; Metazoa; Platyhelminthes; Trematoda; Strigeidida; Schistosomatidae
Source: Rfam